Molecule: ribosomal RNA, 532 nt
Filed under: uncultured bacterium
Lineage: Bacteria
Description: bacterial SSU rRNA
Rfam family: Bacterial small subunit ribosomal RNA
Source: RNAcentral
AAUAGAUACCCCGGUAGUCCUAGCAGUAAACGGUGUGCGUUUGGUGUGACGAAAGUUGUGCCGAAGCUAACGCGAUAAACGCACCGCCUGGGAAGUACGAUCGCAAGAUUAAAACUCAAAGAAAUUGACGGGGACCCGCACAAGCGGUGGAGUAUGUGGCUUAAUUCGAUGCAACGCGAAGAACCUUACCUGGGUUUGACAUGCAUCUCUAAGAUAAUGAAAGUUAUCGAACUUCGGUAAUUUGCACAGGUGCUGCAUGGCUGUCGUCAGCUCGUGUCGUGAGAUGUUGGGUUAAGUCCCGCAACGAGCGCAACCCUCAUGUUCUGUUGCCCUUCGGGGAUCUCUGAACAGACUGCCCAGGUCAACUGGGAGGAAGGUGGGGAUGACGUCAAGUCCGUAUGGCCCUUACACCCAGGGCUGCACACGUACUACAAUGCCCAGCACAAAUGGAACCGACACCGCGAGGUGAAGGAAAUCGAAAAAACUGGGCUCAGUUCGGAUCGUAGGCUGCAAUUCGCCUACGUGAAGUUGG